GUGGCUAUGGGGCAGUUAUAGGGCAGUUAUAGGGUAGUUAUAGGGCAGCUAUGGGGCGGCUAUGGGGCAGCUGUGGGGCAGUUAUAGGGUAGUUAUGGGGCGGCUAUGGGGCAGCUAUGGGGCGGCUAUGGGGCGGCUAUGGGGCGGCUAUGGGGCAGCCAUGGGGCAGCGAUGGUGCGGCUAUGGGGCAGGUAUGGGGCAGCUAUGGGGCAGUUAUAGGGUAGUUAUGGGGUAGUUAUGGGGCAGCUAUGGGGCAGCCAUGGGGCGGCCGUGGGGCGCUCACCGCACGCAGCGGCCGUGCAGGAGGAAGAAGCCGUCCCUGCAGCUCUGGCAGCGCCGCCCCACGGAGCCCCGCGCGCAGCCCACGCAAACGGCCUCCGCCUCCAACGGGCCGAAACGCAGCCAGCGCCGCGCCUGCGCGGCACAGCGUGGGGACAGCGGGGACACGUGGGGACACAGAGGGACACAGAGGGACCAUAGGAACCAUAGGGACACACAGAGACACACAGGGACACACAGGGACCAUAGGGACACAUACGGACACAUGGGGACACAGAGGGACCAUGGGGACACAUAGGGACACAUGGGGACACGUGGGGACACGUGGGGACCAGAGGGACCACAGGGACCAUAGGGACACAGAGGGACACGUGGGGACACAUGGGGACACAGAGGGACCAUAGGGACACAGAGGGACACGUGGGGACACAUGGGGACACAGAGGGACACAUGGGGACACAUAGGGACACAGAGGGACACA
Molecule: long non-coding RNA, 760 nt
Filed under: Phasianus colchicus (ring-necked pheasant)
Lineage: Eukaryota; Metazoa; Chordata; Aves; Galliformes; Phasianidae
Description: lncRNA (ENSPCLG00000020102.1)
Source: RNAcentral